UUGCGGAGAAAACUGACAACGAGGGUAGAGGGAGGAUUUAAAAAGCAGCCGACCUACCUUCACACCCUGUGUGUAUCUACCAUGUGGCUUUGCGGGGCCGACCCGCUUUUGACCCGGGCGGCGGCCGCCACAGCCUAGUCUCUAGGCCAGGACGCCUGCGUUAGUGCCCGCCAGUAUACAAAACUCCAGCGAUUAUUCUGGUGUAGUCCUGAGAAUUCAUUUAAUGAAAUAAAACUUUCAACAACGGAUCUCUUGGUUCUGGCAUCGAUGAAGAACGCAGCGAAAUGCGAUAAGUAAUGUGAAUUGCAGAAUUCAGUGAAUCAUCGAAUCUUUGAACGCACAUGGCGCCCCCUGCAAUUCCGGGGGGCAUGCUUGUCCGAGCGUCAUUUCACCCCUCAAGCUCUGCUGGGUAUGGGGCGACGUCGGCUGCCGGACGCCCUUGGAAAACUCGGGAACGGCGUCUCAGCCUCGAGCGUGGUAGUAAAAUAUCUCGCUUUGAAGAAGGGGGGGCCUGCCGCGNGAAAAUUCGACGUUGGGCAAUAUUUUUCCCAGGUUGACCUCCGAUCAGGUAGGGAUACCCGCUUGACUU
Molecule: ribosomal RNA, 589 nt
Filed under: Phyllosticta citricarpa
Lineage: Eukaryota; Fungi; Ascomycota; Dothideomycetes; Botryosphaeriales; Phyllostictaceae
Description: eukaryotic LSU rRNA
Rfam family: 5.8S ribosomal RNA (bases 233-386)
Source: RNAcentral